Molecule: ribosomal RNA, 468 nt
Filed under: uncultured bacterium
Lineage: Bacteria
Description: partial 16S ribosomal RNA
Rfam family: Bacterial small subunit ribosomal RNA
Source: RNAcentral
GACGAACGCUGGCGGCGUGCUUAACACAUGCAAGUCGAACGGAAAGGCCCUGCUUUUGUGGGGUGCUCGAGUGGCGAACGGGUGAGUAACACGUGAGUAACCUGCCCUUGACUUUGGGAUAACUUCAGGAAACUGGGGCUAAUACCGGAUAGGAGCUCCUGCUGCAUGGUGGGGGUUGGAAAGUUUCGGCGGUUGGGGAUGGACUCGCGGCUUAUCAGCUUGUUGGUGGGGUAGUGGCUUUCCAAGGCUUUGAAGGGUAGCCGGCCUGAGAGGGUGACCGGCCACAUUGGGACUGAGAUACGGCCCAGAAGCCUACGGGAGGCAGCAGUGGGGAAUAUUGCACAAUGGGCGGAAGCCUGAUGCAGCAACGCCGCGUGCGGGAUGACGGCCUUCGGGUUGUAAACCGCUUUCGCCUGUGACGAAGCGUGAGUGACGGUAAUGGGUAAAGAAGCACCGGCUAACUACGUG